This 74-nucleotide transfer RNA is filed under the name Bacillota bacterium. Its description in RNAcentral is "Firmicutes bacterium (anaerobic digester metagenome) tRNA-Gly". It matches the Rfam family "tRNA". Rfam says of the family: Transfer RNA (tRNA) molecules are approximately 80 nucleotides in length. Their secondary structure includes four short double-helical elements and three loops (D, anti-codon, and T loops). RNAcentral also lists the same sequence under 1 other name. The record is from RNAcentral. Lineage: Bacteria; Bacillati; Bacillota.
GCGGGUGUAGCUCAAUGGCAGAGCGCCAGCUUCCCAAGCUGGUAGCGUGGGUUCGAUUCCCAUCACCCGCUCCA